CAGCAGGUCCCAUUCCGCAGGCUUCUCUGUGGGGUGGAUGCAGAGCCACCAUAGGAAGCCAGAGUCUUGUGCUGGGUGUCCGGCUGGGGGCAGAGGUGGCAGAGAUGGUCCAGCAGUCUUCUCCAGGGUCAGCAUCUGAGGAGAUGACCUCAGCCUGUCACAGGCCUGGGUGCAUAACUGGGGUUUAACCAAUGAGAGACUGUAGCAUCCCAGCUCCAGAGCAGGCUUCAUCCGAAGAGACUGAAUCCCAGCUGCCCUGGACAUCUUCACCUGAUUGUCCUCACUCCCACAGUGCCCAACACGGCCCCACCACAGACUGUGCCACCUCUCCUUUGCUGUUAGCAGCAAACAGCAUCACUGCUUCUGGGGCAGAAACUGACUGUUUUUUGGUACCGGGGAUCAAACUUGGGAGCUUGCUCUUGCAAGACAGGCGGGGGAACCACUGAGCUAAAUCCCCGACCCAGAAACUGACUUUUUAAUUCCUUCCCUGUGCUCUUAGCAUGCAGUGGCUCCUCCCCACUCCUGACAGUUUUUGUGGUUCUCUCCAUCCUGCCUCCUUCCUCCUCACUGCCUGUCUUCCACUCACCCAGCCCCAUGCUCCUGUUUGGCUAGCACCCAUCUUGUUCCCUAUGCAGCUGGCUCCCACUGCCACCAGAGCACUUUGUGGUCGUCCCCCUGCCUGGAGCUCUGUGGGCAGAGCCAGGGCCACCGGUGUGUUUCUCAUCCCUGGGGACUGGCAUGGAAUCAGCAUGUGCAGAUCAUUGCUCCCAUCCUGGAAGAACACAGCUCACCUCAGGGAAGUGAUGUGACCCACCUUCGUGACCUCUCCACUCGAGUGUUGGAGCCAGCUGCCCCCUCCUCGAUCCUUCCUGCUGACGCUGGUCCAGCACAGCACUCCCCCUUCGACCACCCCCACCCCUCUGCAUGCCAGUGGCCCUUGGUGCCACUCUCAUCACACCUUCCGUCUUCCCCUUUGCUGCUUCCCUAGAUGAUUCACACUUUGGGCCCUCAGUUGCCAGAUGCCAAGUCCCAAAUCAAUGAAUGGGGCUGGAACUUACGGUCCAGGGUAUAGUGGUUGGGUUUUUGUGGUCAGUUCCAAAAUAGCAACAAGUGCUAUGGGAAAAGUUAAUUUGAGGUCUAAAUAAAUGUCCUAUUGUCAGAGUAAAGGUUUUUGUAGUGUCCUUGAAAUACAUGUGCUUCCUGAAAUACUAAUGCUCAGUAAAAAUAAUGCUUCUGCAUA
This is a non-coding RNA of Heterocephalus glaber (naked mole-rat), 1240 nucleotides long. NCBI's taxonomy places the organism in Eukaryota, Metazoa, Chordata, Mammalia, Rodentia, Bathyergidae. The record is from RefSeq and is a predicted model, not a curated record.